This 1748-nucleotide long non-coding RNA is filed under the name Rhinopithecus bieti (black snub-nosed monkey). RNAcentral describes it as "lncRNA (ENSRBIG00000045230.1)". The record is from RNAcentral. Lineage: Eukaryota; Metazoa; Chordata; Mammalia; Primates; Cercopithecidae.
UGAAUGGGAAGAUGGAGAUGGAUGUUGAGGGAGUUUCUCCGCGCCCGGAGCCCAUCCCCCGCUCCCAGGGGGCUGGCGGAGCCUGCCAGGCGCCGCCACAGCCGCCCCAGCCCCAGCCGCCGCCGCAGCAGCUGGCUCAGGAUGAACUGCCCGGCGAGAGUGCAGGCGCUGAGGACAGCGACGAUCCCGAGACGAGACCCAACGGCGAGAAAGGAGAGAGCAAGAGAUGCCAUGGUCUACAAGGUGAUGAAUACCACUAUGAGCUCACUACAAGAUCUCAAAGAUUUCAAGCCACUGGCUGUUCCAAAGCAUGAAGCCGCCCUUCUGGAGCAGCAGCAGGAGGCAGGCAGGGAGGAGGCCCUGAGUUUUGCCCAGAUGAUGGACUGUCUCGUUAGGUGUCCAGGCAGCUGCUGAAACAUAGUAAGGAAGAUGCUGCUGAUCCAAAGGAUAAAAACACAGAAACUGAAACCAAGAAGCACCUAAAGUGGACUCACGCCCAGCAUCCCUGCAGACUGAUGUUCUCUCAGCUAUAGUUCUGCAUUGAACUGUUUUUCCUUUGCUAUCACCUGCCUAACACACAGUCCUGGAUGCUUUUGACUGGUUGGAUUUUUUUUUUUUUCUCUGCCUUUUCAUUUUCUUUCCUUUUUUUCCUGCCUUUUCUUUUUCUUUCCUUGACCCUGGGAAUUACAAACAAGAAAUUGCUUUAAAAAGUAUUAUUCGGUGCUGAAAAUAGCCUUGUUUAUGAACAAGUUUUAUCCCUAGGGAUUUCCUGAAAUGCAGUCUCAGGUUACCUUGUAAAUGGGGCUGUGCCAUUUGAUUUGUAUAGUACUGAUCUGUAAGUUAAAAUACAUUUCCUUUCUUUUGUUUCAUUCGUUUUUAAAAAAUUUGCAUCCAGGUAAUGGCCUGAGUCACAUUUGCUUGGCUACUGAAGUGAUCUCAAUGUGUUAUCACUUAGAGUUGAAACAUAAUCAAACAUACGUUAUACCUGGGGCUCGUGCACACUCUUUGAUACAUAUGUCACAUUACAAAGAAACACAAACCUCGUAGGUUGAGAUUUAAUUCCUGUUUGAUCCUGCAGCUAGAAUACUAAAGAAAUUGUAAAUAUCAAAAUUGGCUUCAAAUACCCUGAAUAUAAGCUAGUCAACAGUAAGUGGAUGGCUCCAGAAUACCGUUUUCUAAGAAGCAGGAAUUAGAGAUCAACUGACCUCAUCCAUAAUGUUGCUCAGGUCUGUCUGUGGAUCUGUCCAUUUUGGAGUAAAAAACAAGGCAUGCUUCUGUGAUUGUGUUUAUGAAAACUGUAGUAUUUCAGAUUUAUGUUUUGUGAUUGUGCUUGCCUUGCAAUAAAACACCUUCAGUUGACUCACAUAAGGUCUCUGUCAAUUUCCUGCAAAACUGUGUCCUUAUUGGCUUUCUAAAAAAGUUCAGUGUAGACCUAUCAGUGGUGACCUGCUAGACAUUUCAGCUGGAUCUAGCAUUAUUGCUCUUUCAGAAAUAGCACUAGAGCUGUCCAUUGUCUACACAUGAGGUCAGAGUUGUACAGUCAGAUUCUCAUUUCUUCGUAUUAGCAUCAACUACAGAAAUCUAUAGUCACAGCCUAACCCUGUUACGUAUAUGUGCUGCCAUCUGCCAUUGUGUUCCAACUCUGGAGUCCCUAUUUAUUUCUGAGACUCUAGGAUAAGCCAAAAACCCUGUGGACCUCAGUGUCCUCAUAUACAAAAUGGGGAUAAUGAUACUUCCUAUGAUUGUGG